Molecule: ribosomal RNA, 465 nt
Filed under: Vreelandella stevensii
Lineage: Bacteria; Pseudomonadati; Pseudomonadota; Gammaproteobacteria; Oceanospirillales; Halomonadaceae
Description: partial 16S ribosomal RNA
Rfam family: Bacterial small subunit ribosomal RNA
Source: RNAcentral
CGUACGGGGGGCAGCAGUGGGGAAUAUUGGACAAUGGGGGCAACCCUGAUCCAGCCAUGCCGCGUGUGUGAAGAAGGCCCUCGGGUUGUAAAGCACUUUCAGUGAGGAAGAACGCCUGGUGGUUAAUACCCAUCAGGAAAGACAUCACUCACAGAAGAAGCACCGGCUAACUCCGUGCCAGCAGCCGCGGUAAUACGGAGGGUGCGAGCGUUAAUCGGAAUUACUGGGCGUAAAGCGCGCGUAGGCGGCUUGAUAAGCCGGUUGUGAAAGCCCCGGGCUCAACCUGGGAACGGCAUCCGGAACUGUCAAGCUAGAGUGCAGGAGAGGAAGGUAGAAUUCCCGGUGUAGCGGUGAAAUGCGUAGAGAUCGGGAGGAAUACCAGUGGCGAAGGCGGCCUUCUGGACUGACACUGACACUGAGGUGCGAAAGCGUGGGUAGCAAACAGGAUUAGAUACCCCUGUAGUC